Molecule: ribosomal RNA, 251 nt
Filed under: uncultured bacterium
Lineage: Bacteria
Description: partial 16S ribosomal RNA
Rfam family: Bacterial small subunit ribosomal RNA
Source: RNAcentral
UACGAAGGGGCUAGCGUUGUUCGGAAUUACUGGCGUAAAGCGUGCGCAGGCGGCUUCUCAAGUCAGGGGUGAAAGCCCAGAGCUCAACUCUGGAAUUGCCUUUGAGACUGAGUGGCUUGAGUACGAGAGAGGUGAGUGGAAUUCCCAGUGUAGAGGUGAAAUUCGUAGAUAUUGGGAAGAACACCGGUGGCGAAGGCGGCUCACUGGCUCGUAACUGACGCUCAUGCACGACAGCGUGGGGAUCAAACAGG